This 560-nucleotide ribosomal RNA is filed under the name uncultured bacterium. RNAcentral's name for it is "bacterial SSU rRNA". It matches the Rfam family "Bacterial small subunit ribosomal RNA", at positions 110 to 656 of the family's 1533-position model. The record is from RNAcentral.
GUAAUGCUUUGGAAUCUUCCCAGUAGUGGGGAAUAACCAGUCGAAAGAUUGGCUAAUACCGCAUACGUCUGUAAAGGGAAAGCGGGGGCUCGUAAGACCUCGCGCUAUUGGAUGAGCCAAAGUCGGAUUAGCUAGUUGGUGGGGUAAUGGCCUACCAAGGCGACAAUCCGUAGCUGGUCUGAGAGGACGACCAGCCACACCGGAACUGAGACACGGUCCGGACUCCAUAACGGGAGGCAGCAAGUGGGGAAUAUUGGACAAUGGGGGAAACCCUGAUCCAGCGAACGCCGCGUGUGUGAAGAGGGCCUGCGGGUUGUAAAGCACUUAUUAGUGGGGACAAAAAGCUACGGAUUAAUACUCUGUGGUCUCUGAUUUAAAACCAAAGAAAAAGCACCGGCUAAACUACUGUGCCAGCAGCCGACGGUAAUACAGAGGGUGCGAGCGUUCAUCGGAAUUACUGGGCGUAAAGCGCGCGUAGACGGAAACGUAAGUCAGAUGUGAAAUCCCUGGGCUCAACCUGGGAACUGCAUAUGAGACUGCAUGGAUAGAGUAUCGAAGAG